Molecule: long non-coding RNA, 24079 nt
Filed under: Olea europaea (common olive)
Lineage: Eukaryota; Viridiplantae; Streptophyta; Magnoliopsida; Lamiales; Oleaceae
Description: long non-coding RNA (OEUR_LNC006326)
Source: RNAcentral
AAAAACGCAUAGAAGAAGAUCAAGUUAAGCGACGAUCUUGUAGGCUUUCAACUUGUCAAUCCAUGAAAUGAAUGAAUUCUUAGAAUUCCGGAAUCCCAGAAAACCGUGCUCCUUGCUCUUGUUCAUGGUAUCCAAUAAACAUUUCAAGCUAAGCAUAGUAUCGGCAAACCACCAAACCCCGACAUCCUCCAAUUUAGUAGGUGUUAAUCCAUUCUCCCGCACAAUUUCAUCCCAGACCUUCCCUUUAUCCUUCAUCAUCUCCAGCAGUGUCAGAUUCUUCCCCUCCUCAAACUCUUCAUAUUCCAUCCCGAAUUGCUCAGCCAAUAUCCUCCAGAAAUGUUUCCACUUGAAAACAUCCCCAUUGCUGAUAUUGAACGCUUCAUUCCUAGCAUAGGGAUCCACUGCCGCCCAUAUCUGAUGUUCAGCAAUCAAAUCUGCAUCAGAACAAUCGGAAUAUCCAUCCCACACAACCUUACUUCCUGGAAACCUCAAUGGCAUACCCUCGUGCUUACAUAUGGAGGCAUAAACACAUAGGGUAGCAACUAAGUUCAUCAUACUAAAUGGAGAGAAUCCAAAUAUUAUCCCUGGCCUAUGAAUCGACCACGUCAAUCCCUCCUUCUUUUCCACCUCCUCGAACAGGAUAUCCUCAAGAGUAUAGUAAAAAUUCGGGCAAUCCAAACGUGGCAAAUCCUCGUGGAAAGGAGGAUCGUGAGGUCUUAUCUUUCCAAAGGAUUCAAAUGAACCAAUGUAAUGCUUCCUUCCUGUUUGCAAACAAAUAUGCUUCAAAUUAGGACAAUUGGUGAUAACUGCAUCAAGCACAUUCUUUAACAUUUUGCCAUUGGCUUUGCAAUUCUCAGCCUCCGUGGAUCUAUUGGUCCAUGUGACAUAGAAGAUGUGUGUGACAUCCGUUAGCGGUGACAGCUUUGCUUGAGCAUCCUCAUGAUCUGAGAUGUCGCAUCGGAUGUAUUGAAUUGGAUUGUCAUCAUUCCAAGACGGCUGGGGACGGCGGGCAACGCCGUAGACCUUCCAGGGGCCGCCGGGGGUAUCGGCGAGCGGGAGGAUUUCCGCCAGACUGUUGCCCACGAUGCCGGUGACACCGAUUACUAGAGCCACGCUAUGAUGUUUGAUCGUUGCCUCAUCUUCUUCGAAUUUUUUCUGUUUCAAGAUCAAAUCAUACAAGGGUUUUAACCGCUAGAAACUACUCAUAUCCACACACACAUAAAUAGACGCACAUACAAUCCGUAUACAGAUGCUGAAUAUAUCUGAUAUGAAUAAACUUACCUUUGCAGCGCCAAUAGCUCCGGCCCACCACCAACUCAUUUUUAGCAACAGCGGUUGCGAAUUCUGUGUUUGUGAGAGAGAGCGCGAGAGAGAGUAGUCUCUGUUUCUUUGGAGUGUGAUAAACCACAAAAUGAGAGAGAGAGAGGCUUCUACUAGUCUCUGUCAAAAUGAUUAGCCCUUGUUUGAUCCAAUCAUUUGGUCAAGAAUGCAUUUUAAAAUAGUAGAUUUAAAAUAAUAAAUAGAUGAAAAAUGUAUUAUUAAAAAAUAAGAAAAAAAUUAAAUUUAUAUGUAAUAUUAUUUUAUUGAAUAACAUGUGAUUGAGAAAAAGAGAGAAUAUAUUUUGAAAACAACUUAUAUCAAACAAGGUCUAGAUAGGGUCAAGACUGUAUAUGCCGAUUUUUUUGUUGUUGUCUGUUUGGAGAAUUAAUCCUUAUUGGCCUCUUGAAUUAUUGGUAUUCGUAAAUAAAUAAUAUUUUAUUACAUUAUAUGUGCAUAAAAAUUUAUAAAUUUAUUUAUCAACGUAUUAUAUGAUGAGAUAUGAUUGAGUGAAAAUUUCGUUAACGGAAAAAUGUUCUUCCACCUUUUUUGUCAUUAACCCACGUUACAUAAGUAUGCUGUUUAAGUGGUGAAGAAAUUUUUUGAUAAUUUUAAUUUAACUUAUAAGUGCUUGUAAAUAAAUAAUUUUUUAUUACACUAUAUGUGCAUCAAAAUUUAUAAAUUUAUUUAUCAAUAUAUUAUAUAAUGAGAUUUGAUUGAGCGAAAAUUUCGCCAAUGGAAAAAGUUCUUCCACCUUUUUUUUUAUCAUUAACCCACAUUACGUAAGCACAUCAUUCAAGUGGUGAAGAAUUUUUUUGAUAAUUUUAAUUUAAUUUAUUGUCACCUCUUCAAUCUAUAAAGGAUGAAGUAUAAAAAAUAUUUUUCAAUAAUUUUUAAUCUGAUGUAACUUUUUUAGAAGUAAGAGAACAUUCAAUAUAAGUAAGGAGAAUAUGAUAAGCUACCCGUCAUAUGUUUUUGGAUAAUAAAUUAAAAUAAUAUUUUUUUGAUGGAAAUAUGGUUAAAAAUUAGAGAAAUGUUAUGAAUUUAUGUACCAAACAUGGGCUACAUAAGCUUUUCAGCGUGUCAAAUGUUACGAGCAUGGAUAGAAUGUCGUGCGAAGCAACUUCUUUAAGAAAUGUUUUGAGAAGCUUGUAUUUUAUUUUAUUUUUCGCAUCAAUGAUCUAAUAAAUUGUCAUUUCUAUCGCUUCAAAUUGGAUUUGAUCUAUUGAACAUGUAGUUAAAAAAGGUGUCACGUAUGAACAUGUAAAAAAGACAAAUAAGAUCCUAAUUUAUUUAUUCAUUUUUAAAUAAGAAGUUAAUAAGAAUUCGUUCCACAUUAUUACAAAAUAAUUUUAAAUGAAAUAAUUAGAUAGAGGUGAACGUGCAACCAAUCUAUGAACUUGAUAAAAUUGCUUACCAACAAGCUACAUAUUUAACCGUUUGUGUCGUUAGUUUCAUGAAAAAAUUUCCCUUGAUUGGCAAAACAAAGAAAAUAAGAGAAAUUUUCAGUUUUAUAUUUUUGGAACUUAAGCGUGUCAUGUAUCUUCCGUCACUUGUGAAUAGUCACUUGUGAAUAAUGAUCACUCCUCUAAUACUACGAUAGAUAUAGGGAUGUCAACGAGUCGAAAGUUUCGGCUCGAGCUCGACUCGAUUAAAAUUGUCGAGCUUUUUUUGGGGCCCGAGGCGAACAAAAGCUCGCCCAAAAAUUUUAGGCACGACUAGGCCUUUUUCUAUCUUUCUCUCUCUCUUUUUUUUAAAUAUAUAUAUAAUUUAAGCUACUGCCUUUUUUAAGGCAGUUUUUGCUAAAAACUUGCGAGCUCACGGGCCGGCUCGGGCAAAGCCCGUGUCCCCAACAUGGAGCUCGGCCCGAGCUUAGGCUCGGGUCUACCAAGCCUCGAGCCGAGCCGGCUCGGGCUUUUCGCGGGUCGAGCGACGGGCGGCCCGAGUCAACGAGCCCAAUUGACAUCCCUAAAUAGAUAUGAUUAUAAUUCAAAUUUCAACAUAAUAUAAAUGAUAUAAGGGUUUUUGUUAGCCCGAAUAUCAGCGAGAGUUAAAUUAAAUUAAUGAGACUUGAUCUUACAAUCUUAUGAUAUAAACUAUUUUUAGUAUUAAAAUUAAGCAAUUUUCUCAUUAGAUCUUAGAAAUUGUAAUGUGUGUAAUGUGACUUGAGCCUGUUGACCAGUAUUAGGUUUGACGGUCUAUCCUUUUUUUUUUUUUUUUUUGGUCGGUUUUCGAGAUGUACAAGUAUAAAUGAGAAGGCUUUCGAGUUUAUUAAUGAUCUCAACUGUGUCUUGUACGAUAAGCUUUCCUUCGGGCCUCAAAAUCCGAUCAGCCUCCGUAACCAGGGCCAUGAAAUUACACCUGAGACCCGGAAUUCAAAAUAACUAGAAGAAAGCAUAUAAACUUAAGCAUCAAAUCUAGUUAAUUGAGUCUUAUGUACACACUUGUUUUUAAUCUUUGAAAAGAGAUGGUCUGCAUACGAUUCACAACAGUCAUGAUAAAUUCCAAAUAGACCUCGUUCAUAAAUAAUCGGUAGAGUAUCAGGAGCAUCUAUGGAGACAACGUUCAUAACCCACAACUUCAUAUCUUUAAGAGCAGCAGCAAAUCCGCAGAGGGAUCACCAUCACUUAGUACAAGCCGAAUGGCAACCAAACAUGCUAUUUAAUUACAGAAAUAAUGGUAUAAAUGUAACACUCCAAAUUUUAAAUUUUUAAUUUCAUGUAGGCUAAAUUUAAUGUUGAUAAUUUAGCAAAUAAAAUAAUCCAUGUCCAACAUUUUCGUAACACUAAAGACCAAACGUUGAAGUGAUAAACAUGUCUCACUUAUUUGCAUAAAUGGUUUAUUUUGCAUACGUAUAUUUUUGAAAUUAUCGUAAGUUAUUUGGGUCGAAUAUUUAAAUAUUUCAAAAGUUGAUAAAAUACAUCGAUAUUAUACUCAUUUUGUAGCUCGUGCCAAAUAACAUAAAUUGGCUCAAGAAGAAAUAAUUUUGAGCUAGCCAUAAUCGAAUUAUCUUGAUAGAAAGAAAAUUAUUCUAAUCCUAUAUUUUAUUAAUAAAAGAUAUAUAAUGACAGAUAUAUGUUAAAAUAGUAAAAUUUUAAAUGGUAAAAUGAAGAUGGGAUGUUUUUGGAAUUGAAAACAUAGAUAUCAACCACUUUUAAUUAAUAUUAAAAUUGAUCAUUUCAACUCCCAUCAAUGAAUAAUAAUUUACACACUCACCAUGAUUGAUUAAUGUAAAGAAUAGGCUAUUGAAUUCACACCUAUAUAUAUAUAUAUAUUGAGAGGUGUUUUUUCCCCUUACAUUAGAGAUGGAAAUCGAACUCAUCGACUCGGGCGGCCCGUUGCUCGGCUUGGAAAAAGCUCAAGCCCGCUCGGCUCGAGGCUCGGGAGAAUCGAGCCAAGACUCGGGUCGAGCCCCAUUUUGGGAUGUUGGGCAGAGCUUCCAGCUCGGUUUGGAAAGGCCUGAGUCGAAAGCUCGAGUCGAGCCUAAUUUUUUUGGUUGAGCUUUUGCUUGGCAUGACUCGGGUCCAAAAACAAGCUCAAAUCAUUUUUACCUGAGCCUAGCCCGAGCCAGCUAGGCUCGACUCGUUGACAUCUCUACCUUACAUACACACGUGAAAACACAUAUUAAAAGAGAUAUUAUUUUAUUUACAAGCCAUUUUCAGAUUUAUUUUUAAAUUUUUAUUUUUAUUUUUUUUUGAGUAGCAAAUCAAGGUAAGAAAUGUGCAAAUGAUUAAUUUUUAUUCUUGGUAUUUUUAUAGAAUUUUGGCAUGAAAUACGUUAAGGUCUUUGGGUCGAUUUUUAUGUUGAAUCCUACGGGAUUGACCGUUUAGUCAAGUAUGUAAAUCCUACGGGAUAUUUUUAUAUUAAAAGAAUAUGCACGUUUUUCUUACUGGGUAUUCUUUUUAAAAAAAUACCCACUCUUACUAUAUUUUCAAAUUAGAACGGGUCGUGUGAACGCGUGACGGAUUGAUCGAGUGAUGCUCAUGGGUCACCAAGUAAAAUUUCUAGAAAUAAUAAUUUACAAAGAAAUCUCAUUUGAAAAACACAUUUAUGUUUUUAUAAGAUUAUUUGCCAAUUUCUAUUUUAAGAAUAACUUUAUUUUAUGUUUAAUUUCGUGCAUAUUAUCUUAGUAGAUUUGAUAUUUAAGUUAUUUAACAUGUUCAAUUGACAGUUUAGUUCGUAAUAUUUUAAGUUAGAUAAACUUCAAAUUUUUAUUUGAAUUGUUGAAUUUACCUUAUUGAUUUAAUACCAAAAUUUAUACAUUAGUGUUAAAUUCCGCUUAAAUUAUAAAAGAAAGAUUUUGGUAACACUUCAAAUAUUUUAAAAAGAAACAAAAAAUAAAAAAAUAAAUGUCUAGUGGAUUUGGGACAUUAUAGUUUGAUACAUAGCCCAGAUUUAUCUUUUUGGAGAUCGAAAAAAAAAAAUUAUAUCAUUAUGCGUAAUUUUAAAUUUUGUUAAGUGAAUUUUGGUAGCCCCAAUAUCUAGACUAUGGUUUUAUGACUGAGUGUAUUAAAAAAUAAAUAAAUAAAUAAAAUUGGUUGAGAAACAUGAUUAGUUGAAUUCUGCCAUCAAUUUAUGAAAAAGUUUAAUUACUUCAUCUUCCCAUGAUUCUUAUAUAAUUAAUGUUCUAAAAUCUUACUAUCGUUAAAUGUCCAUGGGCUUUGAGUUUUUAAGCAAACACGUGUAAAUGAAUAGAGCAUCCUAUAAGUUGUUUGUUCAUUUUAUUUCUUUUAUGGUCCAGUCAUUGUACCUUUAAUGCAAGCUAGCUGUAUUAAAAAAAAAAAAAAAAAAAUGAUUAAGCACUAUGGUUUAUUUAAGUUUUUAUUGAUUUCUUGCCAUUACGGUCACUGUACAUUGUGAAUCGUUAAAAUGGUAAAAGUCUUUUCCAAAAUAUUUAAUUGUACAAUAUUAGUUUCUGUUCUAGUGAAUGUAGAUAAGUGAAAAAAAAAAAAAGUUGUUCACAUGUUUAAUUUUAAGUUCUAUAUGUGAUGUGAUUUUAACUGAAACUUAAUCAAGUAUUAAAAUAAGACCCAUGACAUUUAGUGCUUGUCAAUCAGCUACCAUCUGAUGAACCAAAGGUAUAAACGAAAUGUUAUGUUUAAGCUUACCUUCAAGCAUGAUUUAUGAAGUAUUUAAACUUGAUUUCAAGAAAUGCUUAUAAUGUUUAGAAUGAAAUAUGUUAUGCAUGCUAUUAUUUUAUUAUACAUGAAGGUAUAUGAAUUAACAAUCCUAUUAAAGCCAUGAGAGCGUAACAUAUACGUCGAUGUUACUGCAAAAAUAAAUAUGAUUGGACCCUUAUGUGACAGACAUGAUUAGAACUUAUGAGACCGCUAGAAAGGCCACAGCUUAUAGAGCAGUAUUAAACCGUAGGUCCAUCAUUCAAUCUUAUGAGAAUUAUGUGACUGACCCAACCACUUGUCGAACACGUGCAAGACAUCUAUGAAAGAUGUAUGGCAGCUAUGGAGGCAGGACUGGAGAUCACGCAUACUGAGACUGUGAAUAAUCUCAUACACUCAUUUCCAUCUCAAUGGGGAGACAUGGUAGUUGUGGUUAAGGAUGAGAUGUUAGAAGGUAACCCCCCAGAGCAUCCAAACGUGAUUGAGUUUGGUAUAUAUUGUCAGACCCUUCUAGACAGGCGGAGUAAAAACUUAGAACCCCAAUUGGAGAUAAGGAAUGAGCUUGGUGAUGAGGUUGAGCCCGAGCCAGAACCUCAAAUAAAAUCAGACCCAGAGGAAGAUCCUGAAUGGGAGCAACGAUCAUGAGCAUGAACUUGAGCCACUGGUUGAGAUUGACGUAGAGUCUGGGCCUAAGGUAGAAGACUCAUCUGAAGAUGAAGCUCCAUUAAAAAAGAUUCACAGAAUUCAUAGGGAAUAGAAACUUAGAUUCCAUUUUCUUAGUACUGUGAUAUCUUUACCUUUAUGCUAUUGGAAAUAAAUAUAAAAAAUAAAAUUGUCAAACUAUUAUAUAUCAUGAUUUCAAGGAAUACUAUUAAUAAAAAAAAAUUAAUUUCCUUUAAACAUAUUGAGUUACUAUGUUGUCCAACAUUUUUAAGAGAAAAUUUAAUUUGUUAAAGGAAAUGGUGGGACAACAAGACCAAGCAGUUAUGUUUAGGGAUCUGAUAAGGGCAGUGCAUGACCUUGGUAGGAACCAAGCACCCGCACCAGCUCCUCAGAAUAGACCAACAAAUGCUAACAACAUAAGUUCAAUUGUGGAGCAGUUUCACCGUUUUAAACCUCCUUCUUUUGAUGGUAAGGUAAACUCUUUGGCAGCCGAGGAGUGGUUACGAGGGCUAGAGUGAAUCUACAAAUACAUGGCAUGCACUGAUGUACAGAAGGUAUCAUGUGCCGAUUUUAUGUUGAUCGAAGUAGCAGGCCACUGGUGGGAGUUUGCUUCGCGCACUAGAACAAAAGCACAGCAAUGUGCUAUGACUUGGGCAUAGUUCAAGAAAAGAAAUAAUGACAAAAUACUUUCCCCAAUCACCUAGGGAUUGGAGAGAAGCAGAGUUCCUACAGCUGAAACAAGGAAAUAUGUCGCUUGAUGAGUAUGAAAGGAAAUUUGAACAACUUUCUAGGUAUGCUACACACCUUGUUGAUAUCGAGCCAAAGAAGGUUAGGAGGUUUGAAUUAGGCUUGUGUCCAGAGAUUGGAGGAAUCAUGGCAUCUCACCAUAUGACUACCUAUAGUGAAGUGCUUCGGCGAGUGCAGUCAAUUUCUGAUCAUCUAGAAAUGGAUUGGAUGACUGAGAAGAAUAAUGAAUCAUAUGGAAAAUGAAAGUAGAAUGGAUCAAAUAAAGGGAAAGGAUUUGGAUAGUUUAAGAAGUCCAAUACAGGAUUAGGAUCAGGAUCAAGUAAACUAAAUAAAGUUACUUUACGAUGCCCAAAUUGCAACAAGGCUUAUGGAGGAGAGUGCUUGUUUGGGAAAAAUGUGUGCUAUCAUUGUGGCUAGGAAGGCCAUUUUGCUCCGGACUGCAAGGCAUACCCACCUAAGGAGGAUAACGAACAAGGCAAGAAAGUGAAAGUCGAAGUUUUUGCUUUCACCCAGGAAGAGGUAGCAGAGGAUCCGAAUGUAAUGACAGGUAUUCUAUCAAUAUCUGAACUACCUGCAUAUGUUCUUAUAGACUCCGGAGCUACUCAUUCAUUUAUCUUCACCGCAUUUAUUGUUAAAUCAUGUACUGCAUGUGAAAAAUCUAAUAGUGUUCUAGAAAUUUUCAUUCUAUCCGGUAGAAUUUUGAAUACCAAUCAGAUCGCUAGGCCAGUCAAAUUAGUAAUGGAAGGAAAAGAAUUUAUAACUGAUCUAUACCUCCUAGACAUGAAAGACUUUGACGUUGUUCUAGGAAUGAACUGAUUGGGAAGCAAUCACGCAACCAUUUGAUGUUUCGAAAAGGAAGUAGAUUUUCAGAGGCCUGGGGAGGAUAAGUUUCGAUUUUUUGCUGUACGAGUUAAGCCUUUACCUUGACUCGUAUCGGUUAUGAAGGCAGAAAAGAUCUUACCAAUAAUUUCUAGUGAGUAUCCAUGGAUAUUAGCAAUCAGAGCUUACUAUUGGUAAUGUGUAACACCCCAAAUUAAAUAAACAUAACGUCACGUAAACAUAGAACAUUAAACUAAAUUAAACGAAACACAUAAUAUCAUUGGUUUGAAAGGGAUUCGAACACUGGACCUUCAAUUUGUAUGUGAAAGCUCUAACCAAAUGAGUUACAAUAGAUGCUUUCACUUUUCACCAAAUAAUAAAAUCUUUUCAACAUGGCACUGUGCAAAAAUAAAGUUACUUAUUUCAAUCGGUUAUGUUACUUCAUUCACGUAUAUUUGUUUUCUGAUGGGCUAUAUCAUCUCUGCACAUCUAGGAUCACAUGCUCUGCCUCUCUUCCCAUUUUCUCAUGAAGCUUUCUGCCCAUGAGAUGUCCUUGAAGAUCUCGUAAGGCAAAGUGUUGUGAUUCUGGUGAAAUUUUAGUCAUUUGUCUCCGUUUUUGUCCAUAUGGCUAUAAAUUUUCAUGAUGCUCAUACAACUUUUAGGAUCUAGUUUGUUUAGAUUUAGAGGCAAGCAUGGUGUCGGUAGAAUGGAGUGUGUAUCUGUUAUUUAAUUGUUUCUUUGUGAUCAUCUCUUUUUGUUUAUCUAUUUCCAGUCAAAAUCUCAUUUAAGAUGCUAAAUUGUAAGUUUAUAAUUUCCAGGUAUCAAGAUCUAUUGGCGAUGUCUAUCUGAAAAAACCCGACUUCAACAGAGACCCCCUUUUCUUACAAUUCGGAAAUCCUGUUCCUUUGAAGAGACCACUAUUAACAGCUGAACCCUCAAUUGUAACUCGGAAGCUCAGGCCACAAGAUUUGUUCUUAAUCUUUGCCUCAGAUGGCCUCUGGGAACAUCUCAGUGAUGAAGCUGCUGUGGAUAUUGUAUAUAAUGUAAGUGUUAUGCCCUAGAUCCAAUCGAUUUAGGUUGUAAACGCGUAAUAACGAGAUAUGGAUAUCGUUAAUACAGUUAGACCAUCAUGUGUGGCAUUUCUUACUUGUGAAGUAAGUAGCUGAUCUCACGAGUUAAAGUGUGGUGACACUUAAAUGAAGACGUGGAUGUUUUGUUAUAGAACAAAACAUUGGAGACCCGCUAAGAGAUUCCACAUGGAUAACUAUCUGAGUGUCAGUGGCUAAUCUCUAACGUUCGGUAGUGGAAUUGGUCCUUUGACUUGAGGUCGUCCUGAUACCUUAUAUGAGGACAGUCAUACUUUGGCGGUGUUGGAUGUUGCUCUGAAAGGGGCCGCUAAUACGACAUCGUUCGGGUACGUCAAGAAUCGUAUGAAGGUUGUGAUUGAUCAAUAAAGGAUUCGUCACUCUUAGAUAGUAGGAAAUUAUGAUCUGCAUUUCAUUCAAUUAAGUCGAUGAUGAAAUCCUUGGCCAAGGUGUACUCAUAAGUCGAAAAGGAGUUUUCGAUUUAUAUUGACUUAAUAGUGGAGUGAAAGAUAUGAUCAAUGAUCGAGAUUGACACAAUUUCAUAUCUCGUAAUUGAUCGGAUCGUAUUGACGAAAGGAUAAUAGUUCCACAGUAAACGAACGAAUUUGGUUUUGUCAUACCACGUGACAUUUCCGGUCACAUGUAUUGCCCUGACACAUUGCUAGAUGUCAAUCAAGGACGGCGAAUGUGAAUUGACGAUAAAUUAAAAGGGUGUAUUAAUUUAUCAAUUUUGAUUAGAUCAAAAUAAUAUUUCACGACGUCAGACAUUGUGGUCGGGAACCUAAUGGGUCGCACACAAAAGAGAAUUUGAAGACUGCAAAUUGUCAAUUGAUUAAUUUAACAAUCGUUGAAUAAAUUAAUUAAUUGAAUUUGUUAUUUAUAAUCCCGAAUCAAUUAAUUGGAUUAAUUAAUUCACGGAUCGGGUUUAAUUAAUUGAAUUAAUUAAAUAUUGGACCAGACCGGGCCGGGUCCGUUUGGGUUUAUAUAUAUAUGCAGCUAGGGUUUGAGGUCCAAUAAUGUUUUCAUUAUUCUUGCUGGCACAAGAAAGAAACCCUAGCAGUUGCUGUCUACUCUCUGUGUGGAUUACAUUGGAGGCUGGACAAUUGGACAGCUGUGGGAGGCAGAUUCAAGCUGCUGGAAAGGAAUAAUGCGAAAGAGUUUGCAAAUUACAAGUAAAGGUAUAUUUCUUAUCACAAUUUUUAUCUAAAUACAAAGCUAAAUCCUGAAUGGGAAUUGAAACUUGUUAAAUUCCGCUGUGCAUGUUUAAGUAAAUUCCCAACAGUGGUAUCAGAGCCGACUUUGUAUUUGUUAAGAACUGUUUAACGUGUUGAUUAAAUUAAAUGUUAGUUUAAUCACGUUCAUUCCUAAAUCUAGCAAAUAUAGUUUUAAAUUUUUUUUGUCUUUUUGGAUCUGUUCUUGAANNNNNNNNNNNNNNNNNNNNNNNNNNNNNNNNNNNNNNNNNNNNNNNNNNNNNNNNNNNNNNCUGCCACCAGCAGCGCCUCGCGCUGCUGGUGUUUUCUCAUGGGCGGCGCCGCCCCAGAAAGAAGAGAAGAAAAAAAAAAAAAAUUUUUUUUUUUUUAGGGUUUUGGUGGAGGCGGGGGCCUCUGUUGCAAUUAAUGUAAUUUGGGGCCCCUGGUUGCAAUUACACAAAAGGGGUCAAUUUGCAAAUUUUAAAUCAGGGACCUAUUCUGUAAAUUUCGAUUUUAGAAGGGUCUGCUGUUAAUUUCAUUUUGGGUAACUUUUGUAAAAUUUCAAAAAGGGUUUUGAUUUUGAAUUUUGAAUUAUUUUAUAAUGAGUUUUAAAUUGGGUUUGACCCAUACCCUAAUUUUGACCCAAAAUUAAAAAAAAUAAAUUUUAUUUAAAAUUUGACGACUUUUAUAUUUUUGUUAAAAUUAGAUUUUAACUUAAAUAUUUAAUUUGACCCUUAAUUGAAUUUUUAUUAUAUUUUGGAAUUUUGUCCUAAAUUAAAAUAUUAAUUCAAUUUUAUUAGAGUUGGAUUCUAAUAUUAAAUUAAUUAAAUUUUGUUUUGAAUUAGCACCACUUCCCUAUGCAAAUUAGCACUUAGAGUAUGACUCUAAUUUAAUAAUUAAUUAAAAUUCGAUUUUGAUUAAAUUACCUCGCCCAAUAGUUAUGGAUUUAGAGUUGGACUCUAAUUCGAUAUUUAGUUAAAAUUAGAUUUUAAUUAAAUUGGACCGUCAAUUAAAUUAAUUAAUUAAUAUGAUUAAUUAAUUGUUUAAUUAUCUCGAUCCCAAAAUUUUGAUUUAAUUUUGACGACUAUAAUUGCUAGAUUCAUGAGACAUUACAUAUAAUAUUAGAUAUUAUACAUAUGAAACAUUUAUGUGAUGAAUGUUUAUGGAUGAUUAUGGACUCGACCAUAUGGAUGUGUUGAAUGGUUGAUUUACUUCUUAUUGUUGUUGUGGGCCUGCGAGCUCCUUAUUAAAUAAUUGGGACUGCGAGUCCGUUGUUAUUAUUAUUAUUGUGGGCCUGCGAGUCCCUUUUUUUUAGGCCUGCGUGCCAACUAGUAUAGGAUACAUGUUGCAAGUUCGGCUAAUUGGAGGCGCAAGAAGAGGUGGACACCAUGAAGAUGGUGUAUUGGUAUUGGUCCAAUACUGUACCCCUUAGGAAUUGACCAACUAGUUUUCCUUUUGGCUCGAGAAAACUAGAUAGAACAAGUCAAUAAUCAUCCAUACUAUAUAUAUAUAUAUAUAUUCACAUAGUAGAUGUAUGUUUAAAUAUAUGUAUGCAUAUGUAGUUACUUGAUGAGACCAUUGCACAUUAAAUCCCUCGUUAAAAAUUAUUAAGUUAGUAUUAUUUGCCUUCCAUCAUUAUAGUGAAAAACGAGAAUCCUAAAUCGACCUUAGCUUGUUGAGUACACUCAAGGCUGGUCUAUUAGGGAUAUGUUUGACACUAUGAAAUAUUUGAUAUUUCUGAAUGAUGGGUUUAACUUAACUAAAAUUUAUCUUUAGUUGAGUACACUCAAGGAGAUAAAUUUUUGAGGCAUGUUAAGCUAACACAUAAGAUGUNNNNNNNNNNNNNNNNNNNNNNNNNNNNNNNNNNNNNNNNNNNNNNAUAACAUCUACCCAAAUGUUUUAUUAGGAUUUGUUGAGUACACUCAAGAUCUCGAUACAAUGAAUGGGAUCCCAGCCCACUGUGAAUCAAGUGUGGAUUCAAAUAAUUUAUGUAUGAGGGUCAUGAAUUUAUUUUAGACAGUGGGAGCACGUUUAAUUAAAGUCCAUAUUAAAUUUAUGCACAUGCAUUAUAAUACAUAUUAAUUCUAUUUUUUUCGUCAUUUACAGUUUUUGAAUCAUGAGUAAUCAUAUGAAUUUGAGAGGCAUACUGGAUGCCAACAAAUUGACCGGACCAAAUUUUCUCAAUUGGCACCNNNNNNNNNNNNNNNNNNNNNNNNNNNNNNNNNNNNNNNNNNNNNNNNNNNNNNNNNNNNNNNNNNNNNNNNNNNNNNNNNNNNNNNNNNNNNNNNNNNNNNNNNNNNNNNNNNNNNNNNNNNNNNNNNNNNNNNNNNNNNNNNNNNNNNNNNNNNNNNNNNNNNNNNNNNNNNNNNNNNNNNNNNNNNNNNNNNNNNNNNNNNNNNNNNNNNNNNNNNNNNNNNNNNNNNNNNNNNNNNNNNNNNNNNNNNNNNNNNNNNNNNNNNNNNNNNNNNNNNNNNNNNNNNNNNNNNNNNNNNNNNNNNNNNNNNNNNNNNNNNNNNNNNNNNNNNNNNNNNNNNNNNNNNNNNNNNNNNNNNNNNNNNNNNNNNNNNNNNNNNNNNNNNNNNNNNNNNNNNNNNNNNNNNNNNNNNNNNNNNNNNNNNNNNNNNNNNNNNNNNNNNNNNNNNNNNNNNNNNNNNNNNNNNNNNNNNNNNNNNNNNNNNNNNNNNNNNNNNNNNNNNNNNNNNNNNNNNNNNNNNNNNNNNNNNNNUCAAGGAAUUCAAACUUGAAGUAGAGAAACAAACUAGUAAAAAUAUACUCACGCUAAGAUCAGAUCGAGGUGGAGAAUAUUUAAAGGGAGAAUUUUUAGAUUAUCUUAAAGAGAACGGGAUUCUCUCGCAGUGGACUCCGCCAUAUACACCGCAACAUAAUGGUGUAUCUGAACGGAGGAAUCGCACUUUGUUAGAUAUGGUGCGAUCUAUGAUGAGCCAUGCAAACAUCCCAAAAUCAUUUUGGGGUCAUGCACUANNNNNNNNNNNNNNNNNNNNNNNNNNNNNNNNNNNNNNNNNNNNNNNNNNNNNNNNNNNNNNNNNNNNNNNNNNNNNNNNNNNNNNNNNNNNNNNNNNNNNNNNNNNNNNNNNNNNNNNNNNNNNNNNNNNNNNNNNNNNNNNNNNNNNNNNNNNNNNNNNNNNNNNNNNNNNNNNNNNNNNNNNNNNNNNNNNNNNNNNNNNNNNNNNNNNNNGUGUAUUUGUGGGAUAUCCAAAGGAGACAAUUGGAUAUCAAUUCUAUAAUCCCGUUGAGAAGAAAGUGUUCAUCUCAAGGCAUGCCAUAUUCCUAGAGGAAGAGUUUAUUCUAGGAGAGGGUAGUGGGAGCAAACUAGAACUUGAGGAAGUUCAAGAAUCCACAGACACUGUUGACCAAUUAGAUGAACUUGAGUCUGAUCCUACACCUGUUGGUGGACAGACUCUUGAUCAGGAUAUAGAGAACCCUGAGGACACUCCAGCUCAGCGUAAAUCAAAAAGGAUCAUUCGACCUCCCAGAAGGUACGAAUUCACGAUUACUAAUCAAGUAUUAUUAAUCGAGGAUGAUGAACCUACAAAUUAUGCAGAAGCAAAGUCAAGUGUUGAUUCGAAGAGAUGGCAAGAUGCCAUAGAAUCCGAAAUGGACUCAAUGUAUGAUAACAAGGUUUGGACCUUGGUCGACCUUCCAGGUGGGAUAAAACCGAUAGGUUGUAAAUGGGUUUACAAGAAAAAGGUCGAUGUGGAUGGAAACGUCCACACAUACAAAGCAAGGCUAGUAGCGAAGGGUUACACACAAAGACAAGGUAUUGACUUUGAUGAAACUUUUUCGCCUGUAGCCAUGCUGAAGUCCAUUCGAAUUUUGCUUGCAAUAGCUGCAUACCAUGAUUAUGAGAUAUGGCAAAUGGAUGUCAAAACUGCUUUCCUUAAUGGAAACCUGCAAGAGGAGGUGUAUAUGACACAGUCUGAAGGUUUUGAAUCCAAAGGAGCCAACAAAUUAUGCAAGCUAAAUCGAUCCAUUUAUGGAUUAAAGCAAGCCUCUAGGAACUGGAAUCUUCGUUUUGAUGAAACAAUCAAAAGGUUUGAUUUUAUCAAAAAUGAAGAUGAACCGUGUAUUUAUAAGAAAACAAAUGGGAGCGCAGUCGUAUUCCUGAUAUUAUAUGUCGAUGACAUAUUAUUAAUGGGAAACGACAUCCCAGUACUUCAAUCAGUAAAAUUAUGGUUGUCAAAGAAUUUCUCCAUGAAAGAUAUGGGAGAAGCAGCAUAUAUCUUGAGAAUCAAGAUCUAUAGAGAUAGAUCUAAAAGAUUACUAGGCUUAUCCCAAUCUUCGUACAUAGAUAAAAUUUUGAGAAGAUUUAAUAUGGAAGAGUCCAAAAGAGGAUUAUGCCCCAUGUCACAUGGGAUUUACCUCUCAAGAGAUAUGUGUCCUAAAACACAGGAUGAAAGGAGUCGCAUGGACAAGAUUCCUUAUGCUUCGGCGAUAGGAUCUAUCAUGUAUGCGAUGCUAUGUACGAGACAAGAUGUUUCAUAUGCUCUAAGUGUUACGAGUAGGUUUCAAGCAAACCCUGGUGAGAAACACUGGAUAGCGGUUAAGAACAUUCUUAAGUACUUAAGAAGGACUAAAGAUGUGUUCUUGAUCUAUGGAGGAAAUGAACUGAAAAUUCAGGGGUAUACUGAUGCUAGUUUUCAAACUGAUAAAGAUGAUAGCAAGUCUCAGUCAGGAUAUAUGUUUACUCUCAACAAUGGAGCGGUUAGUUGGAAAAGUUCCAAACAGGAAACAACCGCUGAUUCAACAACAGAAGCCGAGUACAUAGCUGCUUCUGAAGCAGCAAAGGAAGCUGUAUGGAUCAAGAAGUUCAUUAAUGAACUUGGAGUCGUUCCUAGCAUUGUUGAUCCCAUACCUUUGUAUUGUGAUAACAAUGGAGCCAUCGCGCAAGCGAAGGAACCGAGGCCUCAUCAACGAUCCAAACAUGUGCUAAGGCGAUAUCAUCUCAUCAGGGAGAUUAUACAAAGGAAUGAUGUAAAGAUAGAGCGAGUUCCCAUAGAUGAUAAUAUUGCAGAUCCGCUGACAAAGCCGUUGUCACAACAGAAACAUGAUCGUCAUGUGGAUGCUUAUGGUAUUAGAUACGUGAGUGAUUGGAUCUAGUGCAAGUGGGAGUUUGUAAGUGUUAUGCCCUAGAUCCAAUCGAUUUAGGUUGUAAACGCUUUUAAUAUAUUUAAUGCAUUUGAUUUUGGCGAGAUCUAUUAUUUAUUUAAAUUAAUUUUGUAAUAAAUAAUAUUAAAUAAUAGAAUCCGAAGAUCCAAUUUUUAGGUAAUCUGUUAAUCACAAGGAUUUGUGAUUGUGAGAUACAAAUUACAUAUAAUUGGAUCUUGAAUAAACCAUGGUCGUAAGUAAUAACGAGAUACGGAUAUCGUUAAUACAGUUAGACCAUCACGUGUGACAUUUCUUACUUGUGAAGUAAGUAGCUGAUCUCACGAGUUAAAGUGUGGUGACACUUAAAUGAAGACGUGGAUGUUUUGUUAUAGAACAAAACAUUGGAGACCCGCUAAGAGAUUCCAAAUGGAUAACUAUCUGAGUGUCAGUGGCUAAUCUCUAACGUUCGGUAGUGGAAUUGGUCCUUUGACUUAAGGUCGUCCUGAUACCUUAUAUGAGGACAGUCAUACUUUGGCGGUGUUGGAUGUUACUCUGAAAGGGGCCGCUAAUACGACAUCGUUCGGGUACGUCAAGAAUCGUAUGAAGGUUGUGAUUGAUUAAUAAAGGAUUCGUCACUCUUAGAUAGUAGGAAAUUAUGAUCUGCGUUUCAUUCAAUUAAGUCGAUGAUGAAAUCCUUGGCCAAGGUGUACUCAUAAGUCGAAAAGGAGUUUUCGAUUUAUAUUGACUUAAUAGUGGAGUGAAAGAUAUGAUCAAUGAUCGAGAUUGACACAAUUCCAUAUCUCGUAAUUGAUCGGAUCGUAUUGACGAAGGGAUAAUAGUUCCACGGUAAACGAACGAAUUUGAUUUUGUCAUACUACGUGAUAUUUCCCGUCACAUGUAUUGCCCUGACACAUUGCUAGAUGUCAAUCAGGGACGGCGAAUGUGAAUUGACGAUAAAUUAAAAGGGUGUAUUAAUUUAUCAAUUUUGAUUAGAUCAAAAUAAUAUUUCACGACGUCAUACAUCGUGGUCGGGAACCUAAUGGGUCGCACACAAAAGAGAAUUUGAAGACUGCAAAUUGUCAAUUGAUUAAUUUAACAAUCGUUGAAUAAAUUGAUUAAUUGAAUUUGUUAUUUAUAAUCCCGAAUUAAUUAAUUAGAUUAAUUAAUUCACGGACCGGGUUUAAUUAAUUGGAUUAAUUAAAUAUUGGACCGGACCGGACCGGGUCCGUUUGGGUUUAUAUAUAUAUGCAGCUAUGGUUUGAGGUCCAAUAAUGUUUUCAUUAUUCUUGCUAGCACAAAAAAGAAACCCUAGCAGUUGCUGUCUACUCUCUGUGUGGAUUACAUUGGAGACUGGACAAUUGGACAGCUGUGGGAGGCAGAUUCAAGCUGCUGGAAAGGAAUAACGCGAAAGAGUUUGCAAAUCACAAGUAAAGGUAUAUUUCUUAUCACAGUUUAUAUCUAAAUACAAAGCUGAAUCCUGAAUGGAAAUUGAAACUUGCUAAAUUCCGCUGUGCAUGUUUAAGUAAAUUUCCAACAUAUAAAUACCCAAGAGCUGUAAGUUUGAGUUCCCGCUACUUUUAUAUAGAUAAUUUCAGUAUAGAGACAUUAACACCUGGAUGUUUUUCUUCUGGCUUUAACCAUAUAUUUUGCCUUCGUGUGGCGAAAUUUAGAAAUCAUUUAUAAAUGUUCUUCAUUUUCGACCACAAAUUUCAAUGGAUCCACACGUAAUAUCUACUCAUCCAUCACUCAUUUCUAGUUAUUUAUGAAAUUAAACCUUUUAUAAAUUCUUCCCUAACAAAGGCUCAGUUGUGACAUUUACUUUAUUAGCUGUUCAGCCUGUUCUUAUAUGAAGACCUCGGGAUUAGGAUUGCAAGGCUCUUAUUAUUUUCAGUUGCAUCUAAAUGCUAUGUUACUCCACGUAUUGCUUGCUUUCAUGAUUAUGAUUCAUUUGUUGUUAAAAACACGGUGCAAGAAUGAAAAUUUGUGUUCUGGAUUAGUUAAAAAGCAAUGGCAAAGCAUCAAGUUCUACUGAAUGUGAUAUAGCCUUUGUUAAUCUGGUUUAGCUUUUGGCUGGUCAUCCCUGGAAAGUUUUCUAGCUUGACUUGCUUGUUCUUUGUGCGGAAUUUUUUACAGGGUAUAGCCAAGAUAUUAGUCAGAGCUGCCAUUCACGAGGCAGCAAAGAAGAGGGAGGUGAGAUACAAGGACAUUAGAAAGAUCGAAAAGGAAGGUAGGCACCAUUUCCAUGAUGAUAUUACUGUGAUUGUGAUCUAUCUUGACCAUGAUCAUCGUAAAAGCCCUAAACACGAGCAAGGGUCUGUUGGCAUCACCAGCGCUCCUGUUGACAUCUUCUCGUAUAAUUCAGAUGAAAUCGAGGAAAAUCCAGUUGACAAGAUUUUCCCCAAUGAGGAGUCUCGACAUAUAUUGGCGGUAUCCUAAAUAGAAUGUGGAAACUUGAAAAUCGGUAAUCCUGUAUACAGGUUUCCGCGUAAAUAAAAUUAUAGUUGCUGUUUGAUGCUGCGAUGAAAAGGCAAGGUUUUUCAUGUAGGUUUUUACAGAAAAUAAACAAUUUUUUUGUUCUUUGCAUGUUAGUUUUUAUUGGAGUUGAGUUAGCAGAUUGCAUUUGUACUGAUAUGUAUUUUUUAAGUUAAGUUUUGCACUCGUUUAUGCUUAAGAUCAUAGACCAGCCAUAGCAUUUGCAGAGCAUGUUUCUUUCUUCUAUAUUUGCCUCAAGACACCAAUCUUGGCUACCAUUUUACAAGGACAACUGAUCAAUCUAAAUAUUUCAUUUUUAGUUUAUUCCUACUCUUUUUUCUCCAUUCCUUCACUUCUGUCUAUUCGGUCAUAUUUAUUUCCCGACUAUGAACUCAACAUAACAAAUACAGGUCAAUCUUCGAACAAACGUAUAUCAAAUGCUAUAAAACAUAUAUCUGGACCAACUUGUUUGGCUGGUUCCGAAGUAUUGACUAGAUGUGAACCGUUUCAAUAAAAUUUCAUCUUUGAAUGAAAAUCUAUUUUUAAAUAUAUUUGAUCUUUUUCAUAAUUUCACUCUCUUCUUGUGUAUGAAUCAAUCGUGGUCUCUCAAACUUUACCAGCGAUUUGGAAGAAUUCCUUGCUUGACGUAGAUGUUUCUAGUCGCACUUAAAAGCCAUGUAUUCUUCGAUUAAAGUUAUAAAGUUUGGAUUAAUAUGAUAUUUUUUGUUAAUUUUAGUACACGAUUGUAUUAUUUUAUUACAUAAAAAAUAAGUCUAGAGGGUUUGAAAUGAUUGUAUUUAUUUAUUGGAAAAAUUCACAACUAUGAUGUUAAGUAUCACCCAUUUUAAAAUUAAGAACAAAUGUUUUAAAUUUUAAAAAUCAGCUAUUUAUUAAAAUUUAUUUAUGAUCCAAUUAAUUAUUUGUAUAUUUUAUUAAUUAAAUAUAUAAAUGUCACAUAUUUAUACAAUUUGCUCAUAAAUAAACGAUUUAGUUAUUCAUAUAUUAUUUUUUGAUCACAAAUCAGAAUUUUUAUAAACUACAAAUUAUUUUGCGGUCACAAUUCAAGAAUUUUUAUAAGUCACAAUUUGUUCAUCGGUCAGAAUUAAUUUAUCAUUGACAAAUCACAAAAAUUAAAAGUCACAAAUUAUCGAUCAUAAAUUAACAAUUUUUAAGGUCACAUAUUAUUUUUUUAAUCACAAUUUAUUUUUUUUCAUUAGUCACAUAUUGUUUAUUGAUCACAGUUAACCAAAUAAUUUGUAACCACCAUUUCAUCAUUGCCUACAUCAGCAGCAGCAGCAGCACCGCCUACCAACAGCAACACCACCACUUCAAACAAAUCAACCCAUCAUAGAACAUACCAACACAUCAUCACGCUAAAUCCACAACCAUGCCACCAACACCAUCGCACAGAGUACCACACCAUGUAUUGCACACACCCAACGACCACACCUACACCAUCACAAACGUACCCACAGCACACCAUCUUUGCACUCACUAGAGCUCUUCAUUUCCACCACCACACCACAAACCUCCACCUGUACAUCCACCGCACCAUACAACCACCGCACAUAGCACCACAUCACUCGCCCAACCACUACACCCAUUGCACAAUAGUAGCUCAUCACUAUCACACCCACUAGAGAUCUCCAUUCCCACCACCGCAUCGCACACCUCUACCACUGAACCAUCAAUCAUCACACCACUCACAAUUUUUUUUUAAAAAAAAAAAAGGAAGAAAGAAAGAAAGCAAAAAGAUCUGCUGGAAUGAGUAGUUGUCGGAUUGGGUGAAAUAAAGCAGUGUGAGAUUUGUAGCGUCACCUAGCGAUAUGCAGCGAUGAAGGCAGAGAUUGCUGUUGCGACAGCUGAUCUGAAAAUUUUAUGGGGUGUGGUAAGGUGGUUGAGCAUGAUGUUGGUGAGGUGGUGCCAACGGUGUGGUGGCGCUAACGAGAGUGGUGGCGGCGUCGAUGGCCAGCUUGUGAGAUGAGAGAAGUUGGGAUGGAGAAAGAAGAGAGAAUGGAGAGGAUGAACAUGAUUAUGGUUUUGGUAUGUGUGGUUGUGUAGGAUGAAUAUGCUUUUACUACUUGUACAUAAAAAAUGUACAUAAUGAAUUACAUAAUAUGACGUGAAGGGAAAAGGUUUGAUGAAAAAGUCGAUUAUAUUUUAAAUUGGCAAAUGGCAGAAUGCCACGUGAUAUUAUGUAAUCUAUUAUGUAAAUUUUAAUGUACAUGUAGCAAGAUUCAUGUUGAAUAUGUAUAUUUAAUUUUGUAAUAUAAUUAUUAAUAAAUAAAAUAUAUUAAUUAAUUAACAAAACAUCUAAUAUUUGAAAUAGUAAACCUAACCUAUGAUAUAUAAAUUGGAUCUCCAAAAUGUAUUAGUUCCUAUAGUUUUUUUUUCGCCACUUUAUUCAUAGAGUUGGAAGAAUUAUACUGUAAAGAAAUGAAUCAAUAAAUACUUAUAAUUAAAAUUUUUACUUACUCGAAAGAGCCCUCACUGUUUUGAUUUUCAUCGUUUUUUCCGCGAUAAAAUUCUAGCAAACUCGCCGGUGAUUUGUUUUGGUUUCUAUUAUGAGCAAAUGCAUUUCGGUAGCGGAAUCAGUAUGGAAGGAUAUCGAGUCUACUAAUUCAGGUCCAUUAGUUUUAAUUAAUUUCCAAUUGCUCCUUUCGAAUUUCAUAUCCGCUUUCAUUUUCAAUUUUCAUUUUUUCACCAUGUUUCUGUUUGUAUUAUCUGACUUUAACACAAUCCCGCGGUUUUGAUGGAAAUUACGAAAUGGACUCCCCCAGUGACCGAUGAUCAGCUUUCAGUGUUAGUAUCUCCAACUUUUUUGGUUUGUUUUUUCCUCAAAAUUUAGAAAUAUUCUAUUUCUUUCCAGUUAAGUGUGUAUAUGUAAGUAAACGGGUGACAAAUUAUUGUUGAUUUAUGUUACAGAUUGCAUUUUCUUUUUGGGAAGAAUCUGGAGAGAGCAACGCGGAUAAUUGAUCAAAGGGGUGUAAAGAGGAUUUCCGGCGAGCCCAGUGGCCGUUCUAUUUUCCAGGUAAACUAUUUUUCUUCUUCUUUUUAUCUUUUUCUUUCCCUCUUUAUUCAAUCAUUUCUAGGGCUUGUCGUUUGUCAAAGUUUGGACACUUGUUUCUGAAUUCAUUUGAGAUGAUUUUUCGAGACAUUAUUUUAAUUUGGAGCUGGAAUUGACUAAGUGAAUUAUUUUCUGUCAAUUAGGGUUUGUUUUAUGAUUUUACAAAAUUUACUUUCCCUAUCAGCACAGAGCAACCAUCCCCUUCACUCAGUGUUGAGACUGAGUGUGAAAAAUAGAGAUAGAGUUAAAGUGAUGAUUAAAGUAAUUGUCAGUAAUGCUGGAUCAUAUUUCUACUUCUUUCUUUAAAUGCAAAAAUGUUGAUAUUCCAGGUUGUGGGAGAAUCCCGGAGGAAGGAGGAAUAUUUAUGCUUCCCUGAACACUAUUGUUCAUGUUAUUCAUUCUUCUAUGACAUUGUGAACAGAGGGGAACAACUUUGUGUAAUAUUUUCUUGCUGCUUCCAUUAUUUCCCAUAAUUUUAGUUAAUUCUUUCGAUGCUUAUUAUGUAGCUCAUAUGUUUAUGUGUGACCUUUCAGUGUAAGCAUCAACUAGCUGCAAGACUGUCGGCCUCAACUGGAGUAUGCAUUGAUGUGAAGGUUUCUGAUGAGGAACUAGCAUUCUUACUUUCCAAGCUUUGACAACUUUGAAGGACGAGAUUUUGCCUGUAGCAAUUGAGGUUAGAAAAAAUUUGAUGAGACUUUAAUUAGUUACUGUAUGUCAUGACUCUUUAACUAGUUACUGUAUGUUAUGACUCCAAGAAUUACUACUACUUAACAUUCGAGUUUCAUUUUUCAGUCAAAUUGAUUGAUUUUUGGAUGCUUGUCUGUUCAUAUUCUAAAUUCGGUUGUGCUACAUCUACACAAUAAGUUUACACAUACAUGAUAUAGUGAAAUAUGAUUGGAUCGGAAUUUUUUUAACUGAAAAAAAAAAAACCCUCAACUGUAUGUAAACCAUUAUGUAACUGCUUAUGUACAAAUAACAUUAUUCUUUUAAAUUUUACAACAGCAUUAAAGUAGAACUUACUCUUAAAUUCUGGCUUGUUAUGUAUAGUGUCCAAGUGGUUAUAAAUCCACAAGCUAAGACUUAAACGUACCAAUGCAAACAGGACUCUAAUAGUGUCAUUAGAAUACCCCUCUCCUCCUAAAAAAAAUGUCCACAGUAGUCCAUACUUCCACUAGGUGACUUCGUGGAAUCAAUGUUCUACUCAAGUAGUCAUCUCCACUGCUCAUCCCAUCUGCAACGAGAGUCUUCUCCAGAAAGGUGGUCUAUUUCAAUAAAAAUUGUUACCAACACAUUGCAAACAACUCACUUUUAAAUCUGGCCUGUGAGAUGAGUGUUCCACUGUGAUUAUAGUCCACAAGUUAUAACUUAACUUCAUGGUGUGGAAUGCAAUUAGACUCCUUACACCUGUUUAAAUAUGUAGGUAUAGGUUUGUGGUGUUAAUCUCAACUGUAGAUCUGGACUAUGGAUAAAUGUUUUAGAUAUAAGAAGUUUUAUUCUACUGCAAAUUUUGGUUGACCAUUGGUAUAGUAGUUCUGAUGGUAUUUUUGUCCUUGAUCUUCGGACUAACAGCCCAAUUGGCAAGAUAGUUUUGUAGGUAGACUCCUGGUCUAUUUUAUGGUUGCAGGAGUCGGAAAUGGCCUUCCGUCUAGAGAGCGUUAAUUCCUGCCUAAUUUCAACGACCUAGAUGAAGUAAUCAUCAUUCCUGCGUUAGCAAAUGGAAUUGUUAUGACAAAAUCAGAAAGCACAUUGAACCUGUCUGGUUCAGAACAAGAAGUUCUGACCUGCAACUUUGUUGCAUCUUUCCUCUUACCAAUCCCUUUUCUAACAUAUUCUGCCGAGAUUUUUUAAUUUGAAUCUGUGAUCGUGAAGUCGUGAACCUCUUUGAAACUAUGCAAACAUGCUUGAAUCACGUAAAUAGUUCUUCCCACUUUGAUUCCUGUACUAAAUAUUAUUCAAGCAAGAUCAAACAACACUCACGGUACCAGUAUAAAAUUGACGAGCCUAAAUCAGGAACCAUAUUUUACAUGUUCCAUUAUACAAAAACUUUCAUCCAUCACAAUUCCGUUUUUAUUCUUAACAAAUUUCGUAGUUAAUAACUACAUUGUAACCCAAAUUGAGUAAUGAUCCAAGAAAAAAAUGUUUCCUUUUCGGAAUUAUUCUUCUCUUUGCCCCAACAUUCUUUAAAUCAAAACAGAAGACAUUAAACACACUACAACACACCAAGAAAACACAAGUAUCAAACUGAGGAAGCAAACAAAUACAACAAGAACACAUAGACGAGGAUCAAGUUAAGGGACGAUCUUGUAAGCUUUCAACUUGUCAAUCCAUGAAAUGAACGAAUUCUUAGAAUUCCUGAAUCCCAGAAAACCAUGCUCCUUGCUUUUGUUCAUGGUAUCCAAUAAACAUUUCAAGCUAAGCAUAGUAUCAGCAAGCCACCAAACCCCGACAUCCUCCAAUUUAGUAGGUGUUAAUCCAUUCUCCCGCACAAUUUCAUCC